UGGUUUUUCCAUGUUUUGUGUGGCGUCCUCACGUAACAAAAUAUCCUCAUAGUUUUGAUUUCAUAUUAACAAAAUACUUUUGAAUUUUUGAUGUAUUGCUUAGUGUGUGCUGAUGUUGAUCUGUUACACAGUUGACGUGGUUUAAUUAAGGCCAUAAUUAAUCAUUAGACAUUGAUUGAGAUUUUUUGUAUUUUCUAUAAUGCUUAUAAAACACUAUAAAUAGAUGUCAUUGUUCAUCAUUCUAGUUCAUCCAUUAACAAAAACAUUUCUCUUCAAUCAUAUUAUCUUGCAAUCUUUCUUCCUAAUUAAGCGUAAUCAGCCUUCUUCAAGAACGAAAAAUGGCCUCAAAAACCUGUGGAUGUGGUGACAACUGUAGCUGUGGCGAUGACUGCAACUGCAACAGGAUGACUUCGAGGACCGAGUGUGGAUGUGGAGAUGACUGCAGUUGUGACCCAUGCACUUGUGAUUAAUUAUGAAAACAUGAAGUUGUAGUUGAUUUUGGCACUCCAAUUGUGAGAACACAGUUUUCUUACUUUACUUAUAAAAAGGAAUGUCAGAAUCAAUUACCGCAGUUGUGUUGUUAUGGAUUGUUAAUUACUUGGUUUAUUUUUUUCCCAAAAUGUAAGUGUGUUAUUUAAUUAUGUCUUGUGGAUUGAAUAACUAGGCUAUGACAUCUUCGAACGUGGUGUCCUGUAUGUUUCAUGGUCUAGUGAUCGAUUGUUGUGUCUUUAUAUGCAAAACUAUUGUGCAAAGUAUAUUCUGAAUUGGAAAAAAAGUUACCAAAA
Long non-coding RNA from Spinacia oleracea (spinach), 785 nucleotides. RefSeq lists it as uncharacterized. The record is from RefSeq and is a predicted model, not a curated record. NCBI's taxonomy places the organism in Eukaryota, Viridiplantae, Streptophyta, Magnoliopsida, Caryophyllales, Amaranthaceae. The transcript is spliced from 2 exons.